Molecule: transfer RNA, 69 nt
Filed under: Camelus bactrianus (Bactrian camel)
Lineage: Eukaryota; Metazoa; Chordata; Mammalia; Artiodactyla; Camelidae
Also listed under: 1 other name
Rfam family: tRNA
About the family: Transfer RNA (tRNA) molecules are approximately 80 nucleotides in length. Their secondary structure includes four short double-helical elements and three loops (D, anti-codon, and T loops).
Source: Rfam by way of RNAcentral
GGUAGAGCUCAGUGGCAGAGCACAUGCCUACCAUGCACGAGGUCCUGGGUUCAAUCCCCAGCACUGCCA